This 1144-nucleotide long non-coding RNA is filed under the name Homo sapiens (human). RNAcentral's name for it is "HSALNT0014192". The record is from RNAcentral. Lineage: Eukaryota; Metazoa; Chordata; Mammalia; Primates; Hominidae.
GCCCUGACACACAGCUGGGACUCUCAGGUCCGACCAGCGGUCCUGAACCCGCUCCCACGGCACGGGAACUCCUUCGUGGCGAAGCAGCAUGUGGCGAAGCAGCAGCCCCUGCGCUGGCUCAUCUACAUAGAAGUCGCCCUAUCCGUGAUGUCACCGACAGCGCCUUUCCCAGUCCCCGUCUGCCUUUCUGCCGCUCAGCCGACCAACCCGCUGCCGGAGCCGGCAAGGGGAAGUGACGUCUGCCUCUCCCUUUUUUCUCUCCUGCUUCCCUCAUCUGUUCUCUUCCAAAGAAGCUGGUCCUUAGCCUGUAUUGCGGAGCAAGCUUUCGGCGACCAGCUGGACCCUGGGCACCCUUCUUCGAACAAUGGCUUUUAAUUCUCAGACUAGAACGUUUAGGAUUACAAAAGAAACUGGUUCUUUUCACAUUCUUAUUCUUGUGAUGUAGCAUUCCGCAUAUAUAUAUAUAUAUAUAUAUAUAUAUAUAUAUAUAUGUAUCCAACUAUCCUAAAAGACACUACCCUUCAUCAUUCCAUGCCAUUAGACAUGUAUAGGACCAUGCAUGGUGAUCUCCUCCAGACAAAAGUAAAUGCUGGUGCAGAACAGUGUCUUCCUGGUACUACACAUGAAGAUGUCCCGCUCUCCCCUGCUCAAGGAGAGAGUGCCUGACCUGAGCUGGGCCCAUCAGAUCCAGUACUUACCUGGAAUACGAAAAAGAUGGAGAGAGUGACCAAAGAUUACAAAAAUCUCUGAAGCUUAUCUACUUGAGAGAGAGUCCCUGAAGAUACUGGCCUCUCAUUCCUGCUAUGUAUAUCCAAUGUGACUGAACUCUGAAUAAAAUAUACAAGUUAUAACAAUGUAGCAAUUGACCCAGCAAACGAGGACACAAACGUGUUGGAGGGUAAGGUGGUGAGAGGCGUGUUUGGGGGUGGUGGUGAUGAGCAAGUAUGUGAAGGAGAGGUAGUGCCUAAACUUGAAAAUCAAAAAGUAAUAAUAUCUAUUUAGACAUAAGGAGAUAAAUAACGAAAUAAUUGCUUCUAUGUGAUGAAACUCUGGGAGUACACAAGGGGACUGCUAUUUUACUAAACAAAUUUUCAAAUAUAUAUAACUUUGAUAAAGUAUCCAAAUAAAAUAAUUCCUUUCCCAU